This 538-nucleotide long non-coding RNA is filed under the name Elaeis guineensis (African oil palm). Its description in RNAcentral is "long non-coding RNA (EGUI_LNC075186)". The record is from RNAcentral. Lineage: Eukaryota; Viridiplantae; Streptophyta; Magnoliopsida; Arecales; Arecaceae.
UGGUAUAGCAUACAGGUGAGAUGUACUGGUACAUCAUCAUUGAACAUGACCAACUCCAGAGUAUUCUGCUGUCGAGAAUGUCUCUGAUGGGAUAUAGGUAUAAGUGUCCCUUAGACUUGAGAUUGCCUCAGUGACUUGCAAGCAACUCACUGUGCUUUGGUACUGGACUAACUAAAUUUCUAAUUCAGGGAUGGAAGGCUUUUGGGCACAGUCAAGUACUUGCGAAGUCAGAGUGUGAUCGAGAUGGGAUUGACCACUCCAAGAGUUGGAGAAGAAUGAGUCGCUGCAUUUCAAUUUAGCAAAACCUUGGCCAGGAUAAUCCAUUAGAUGGAUUUGAUAUUUUGAAAUACAAUGUGGACAACCUGAUCAGAGUUGACAGUUGAACUCUGAGGUAUCCUAUGAUCAUUUUGGUCAAGGGGAUGAAUUAUAUGAAAACUAUAUCCGCAUGGGUUCUAAGGAUGUUGUUCUACAAAUUCGACCUAUCCGAUCAUCGGGUACCAUUGCUAGAUGGUCACUUCGAUUGGUACAAAAAUUUAUU